This is a long non-coding RNA of Sebastes umbrosus (honeycomb rockfish), 241 nucleotides long. RefSeq lists it as uncharacterized. The record is from RefSeq and is a predicted model, not a curated record. NCBI's taxonomy places the organism in Eukaryota, Metazoa, Chordata, Actinopteri, Perciformes, Sebastidae. The transcript is spliced from 3 exons.
CCUUGGUCGAGCAGAGAGCCUUCAGAAACAGCGUCCGUCUAUGGAAUUGUGACUGUAAUAGGCCUGUACGGGCCACAACUGGAGUCUUCCACUACCUGCUAACUUGACAGCUCCACCUGGGCCGCGUCGCUCCCAGCAGGAUCAGAGGAAAGAGACCAGGAAAAUCAUCAGCAGCAUGUCCCUCAGUGACGACGAGCAGUUCAGCAUGGCUGAGAAGGCCUGGAAGCCAACGGCGAAGAAG